UUGCUCACUUUGGCAGCACACUUAUUAAAAUUGGAAUGAUAUAGACAAGAUUAGCAUGGCCCAUGCACAAGGAUGACAUGUAAAUUCAUGAAACAUUAAAAAAAUGU
Molecule: small nuclear RNA, 107 nt
Organism: Pteronotus mesoamericanus
Lineage: Eukaryota; Metazoa; Chordata; Mammalia; Chiroptera; Mormoopidae
Source: RefSeq, a predicted model, not a curated record